UUGAGCCGAUUUUUGUGGAAUUUGAAAUUUGGAUUAAGUGUCAGGUGUUAAUACCACGUUCUAUUACUUGGAGAUUUAAACUGGAUAAUAAGGUGUUCACUUGUUUGUAAACUUGGUUCAAAGCCAUUAUGAACUAAUUAACAGCUGUGAAAUUAUUAUUUUCUAAUUGAAUUAUUUGUCUUUAAGAUCAACAAGACUAUUCUGGUGCUUAUACAUAUGAAAGGAUUGAUGUGGAGGGAUCUUUCCAUACUGAAUGGUUCAAGCUUGCCAAACAGUGUAAGAUAAGUUUUGGAGGGAGGUUGGGUUUCAAGACUGAACAUGGAAGUGGACAGAGGAAUUCAUUAGUACCAAAGAAAACCUUAGUAAAUCUUGGUUGUGUAUAAACUGCACAAUUUAUAAUCAUAUUAAUUUAUGAGACAUUAUUUGUAUAGUCAAUGGAAAAGAGUAGGCAUUGACAUUA
Quercus lobata is the source of this 460-nucleotide long non-coding RNA. RefSeq lists it as uncharacterized. The record is from RefSeq and is a predicted model, not a curated record. The transcript has 2 exons. NCBI's taxonomy places the organism in Eukaryota, Viridiplantae, Streptophyta, Magnoliopsida, Fagales, Fagaceae.